RNAcentral lists this ribosomal RNA (468 nucleotides) under uncultured bacterium. Its description in RNAcentral is "partial 16S ribosomal RNA". It matches the Rfam family "Bacterial small subunit ribosomal RNA", at positions 28 to 507 of the family's 1533-position model. The record is from RNAcentral.
GACGAACGCUGGCGGCGUGCUUAACACAUGCAAGUCGAACGGAAAGGCCCUGCUUUUGUGGGGUGCGCGAGUGGAGACCGGGUGAGUAACACGUGGGUAACCUGCAAUUGACUUAGGGAUAACUUAAGGAAAGUGGGGCUAAUACCGGCUAGGAGCUAUUGCUGCAUGGUGGGGGUUGGAAGGAUUAGUUGGUUGGGGAUGGACUAGCCGCUGAUCGGCUUGUUUGUGGGGUAGUGGCUUACCAAGGCUUUGACGGGUGGCCGGCCUGAUAGGGUGACCGGCCACAUUGGGACUGGGAUACGGCCCAGACUCCUACGGUACGCAGCGGUGGGGAAUGUUGCACAAGGCGCGGAAGCCUGAUGCAGCCACGCCACGUGCGGGAUGACGGCCUGCGGUUUGUAUACCGCUUUCGCCUUUGACGAAGCGUUAAUGACGGUAAUGGGUGAAUAAGCACCGGCUAACUACGUG